UACGUAGGGUGCGAGCGUUAAUCGGAAUUACUGGGCGUAAAGCGUGCGCAGGCGGUUUUGUAAGCCAGAUGUGAAAUCCCCGGGCUUAACCUGGGAAUGGCAUUUGGGACUGCAAGGCUGGAGUGCGGCAGAGGAGACUGGAAUUCCUGGUGUAGCAGUGAAUGCGUAGAUAUCAGGAGGAAUACCGAUGGCGAAGGCAGGUCUCUGGGCUGACACUGACGCUCAUGCACGAAAGCGUGGGGAGCAAACAGGG
Molecule: ribosomal RNA, 253 nt
Filed under: uncultured bacterium
Lineage: Bacteria
Description: partial 16S ribosomal RNA
Rfam family: Bacterial small subunit ribosomal RNA
Source: RNAcentral